RNAcentral lists this ribosomal RNA (484 nucleotides) under uncultured bacterium. RNAcentral's name for it is "partial 16S ribosomal RNA". It matches the Rfam family "Bacterial small subunit ribosomal RNA", at positions 30 to 507 of the family's 1533-position model. The record is from RNAcentral.
AUUGAACGCUGGCGGCAGGCCUAACACAUGCAAGUCGAGCGGAUGAAGGGAGCUUGCUCCUGGAUUCAGCGGCGGACGGGUGAGUAAUGCCUAGGAAUCUGCCUGGUAGUGGGGGAUAACGUCCGGAAACGGGCGCUAAUACCGCAUCCGUCCUGAGGGAGAAAGUGGGGGAUCUUCGGACCUCACGCUAUCAGAUGAGCCUAGGUCGGAUUAGCUAGUUGGUGGGGUAAAGGCCUACCAAGGCGACGAUCCGUAACUGGGCUGAGAGGAUGAUCAGUCACACUGGAACUGAGACACGGUCCAGACUCCUACGGGAGGCAGCAGUGGGGAAUAUUGGACAAUGGGCGAAAGCCUGAUCCAGCCAUGCCGCGUGUGUGAAGAAGGUCUUCGGAUUGUAAAGCACUUUAAGUUGGGAGGAAGGGCAGUAAGUUAAUACCUUGCUGUUUUGACGGUACCAACAGAAUAAGCACCGGCUAACUUCGUG